AUCAGCACCGGAUUUGUCAGGGAAUUGGAAUAGGCAAGGGGGGAAGUGAGCAAAUACUCUAAGUCUGCCACUCUACACCUCUGUCAUUUUAGACACCCUGUACAGAUCUACAUAACCUAAUCUCCACACAUCUCAACCCAGUGCGCCCUGUAUCCUACUGACCAGACAAGAAAGGCAAACAACCAUUUCUGUGCAGAGAGACAGUACAGCCUUGGUGAAUGUGGGGGACUGUGAGCAGACUCCUUUAACCAUGGAAAACUCAAGAUAAUUGAAGAUUUGCCCCUUUCUGUUUCUUCCACUCUAAAAAUUUUGUUAAAGUCUAUUUUACAUACAAAAUAUACUUUUUACUUCCGUAAAAAAAUGUGAAUAAAGAAGUCGAGAAACAUGAAAUAAAUAUAUACAUGAUAUGCCUCCUGCACAGGAAAGGAAAUAGUAGAGAAAUGUUUUUUUAUUAUUAUUAUUAUUCUUAAAACUUAUUGUAGAGUUGUAGGGUUAUUGAAAGAGAUUAUUAUUGUCAUCUUAAUCACUAGGGAUGAGCUAUGUUGUUUAGACACAUAUUCUAAGAAAAAGGCCUGAAAUUGGAGCAAAAUGGAAAAAUAACUAUUUUUGCAAGCAGCUCACACAGACUAAUUUCAUUGAAGAUUAAUAUAUUUUAUUGAUUUAUUUUAUAUUUAAUUGAAAACAAAAGCCACUUACCUCUGUUAUAAGGACUUAAUGAAAGACAAGAAUAUAUGGUUUAAUACUCAUGUGUGUCCCUCUGCACCUUUAAGUACCAAGUUUAUUUCAGUGUUUUAUUAUCAGCUGUCUCAGUGUUCCCACAAGUAAUGGUCAGCCCAGCCAAAAGCUGCCUGUGAUAGAAAUUGUGAGGAGUCCCAGGCUAACAGCAUACAGUGUAUCAACACAUUCUCUUUUAUGAGCUUUAAAAUGGAUUUUUCCAAUUUCACAGUAAGUUGCUUUGUUCUUCUACUAUGGAGAUGAAUAGAAGUGCUAUUUUUGUACCAUGUUAUAUAAUUUUGUCAAAUAUCUUCAUUAAACUAGAUCAGUCCUACUCUUUUCAGAAUCUACUACUUCAGUUUUAUUUGCAUCUGUCAAAUAAAUUUGUAGAUAUUGAUCAAAGAUCUCUUAGAGCACCUUUUCUUCCUGUAACUCCACCUUCCAGCACUGAGGACAGAAAAAGCACAUGACAAGAUCUAGGAGUAUUGUUCCUUCAUUUCCCUCUUCAUCACCCCUCUAGCUUUGUGGUGGGGAAAUCCCUUCAAAAUACCCUAGCUACUCCUCUGCCUUAUAUUUUUAUAAGAACACAGCAAGAUUUGGAGAGACUUUCCUUGCACCAUGGCCAUCUCUGCAGUGUUAUUCCCAGUGAGGAUGUUAUCAGCCUUAGGCUGUGACAGUGACCAUCAUAACCCACUUCUAGCCCCAGACCCCUGCCCACCAGGGAAAGGGAUGGGGCAAGAUGAGGAUGUAUGGCAAAAAAAUUAUGGCAGAAAUUUGUGACAAAUGGUAUGAUUGUAAUCAAUGACCAAAAAAAAAUGAAUGACAAAACAAAAAAGUUAAUGGUAAAACAAUGAAGGAAUGAGAAUGCAAAACAGAUAAUUAGGUGUACAAAAAAAAGACAAGAUCCAGAUUGUGAAAAGUAAAAAAAACAACUAUUUACAGAGAACAGUAUAUUUCUCACAAAGCCACAAAGCACUGCAUUCUUGCCAUAACUAUAAAAUUUAUUUGGAUAAUAAACCCAGACCAACUUCAAACUACAUAACAUGUCGUGCAACUAGCACUUGUUUUGAGGACUCAAGUUGGAGAAAAUCAGGGUGGAGUCAAUGCCACUGAAACAGGGUCUCUGCUGGCUGAGUUUCUACUCCAAUCAAAAAAGAGCAGGAGUGCCUGCCAGUCCCCACUACACCAAAAGGUACAAUUUUAAUUCUCCAAACGAGAAUGAUGCUCUAAAUGAAAGAAAACUGAUGGGGAAAAUUACAUAUCUUUCAGGAACACUUUUCAUUAAAUUGGGUUUUUUUCCCAUAAAAUUUUUGUGUGGUUUUCCCUCCUAGUGCUAUCCAAAAUCCUGGAAAUCUGGAAAAGAUGACUGACUGUCCGUUCUCUAAAAGUGAUAUUUUCCUUGUACCAGGGAAUUCUUUUUUAAUUUUUUUAACCACUACUAAAAAAAUGAAGCAAAUUAAGCCAAAACUUCAAGGUAAAAUUUUUAGCCACCUUACUGGGUAAAGUUAUCAAACCACUUCUUUUUUAAUCUCAGAGAAAACAGGAGUGUUUUUGCUACAGCUCUAUCAUUACUACUUCACCUUUGAUUAUGUUACCUUCAAAAUCAGUGCAACUGUUUUUCUACCAAAUACUUGAAUACUAGCAGGGGUUUGUAAUUAACUUUUCUAUGCCUUUUUCCCUUCUCAGUUGUGAGUCUAAGUGUAUUGUCUUUUAGUCUUCAUGAUGAUAUAGAGUGCUAUCACCUAAUAUGAUCAGCUAAGAAAAUAGUCUAUUUUACUUUUUUAACUCACUAGCAACUACAAAAUGUAGUAUUUCCUGGCAAGAAUAAAAACUGAAAUAUUCUGAAAAUACUGCAAAAUCAAGGAGUAGAAUUAUC
This is a long non-coding RNA of Passer domesticus (house sparrow), 2590 nucleotides long. RefSeq lists it as uncharacterized. The record is from RefSeq and is a predicted model, not a curated record. NCBI's taxonomy places the organism in Eukaryota, Metazoa, Chordata, Aves, Passeriformes, Passeridae. The transcript has 3 exons.